AUGCCGCCGCUCCUCCGCGGCGUCGUGUCCGGCCGCCUCCGCCGCUCCCUCUGCACCGCCGCCGCCUCGAUCCCUCCAUGGGCGAUGGUGGACCGGGGCACCCUGAUGAAGAAGUCCGAGGGGAGCGUCUCCUUCUCCUUCGCCCGGGCGCCCGCCGUCUCCUACGUCACCAUCCCCAUCUUCGGCCGGGCCUUCAUGUCGAAGCCUCCCCCGGACGGCCGCGUGUACUCCGACAUGCUCCGCAGCCGCGUCCUCGCCGCCAGCGGCCACGGCUUCCUCCUCCUCGGCACCCUCAAGUCCCGCUACAGGGCUCACCCGCUCUCGGGCCUGGACCUCCCCGCCGAGGUGCUCCUCAAGGUCGCCCCUUUGGAGCUCCUCUACCGCAAGUUCACGCGCUUCGUCUGCAACCCCGUCUCCGGCCAGCUGUUCCGCCUCCCGGAGUUCGAGGAAGCGGAGAGGACCUUGUCGUUUACAGACGGCAUGGCGGGCAUGGGCCUCCUCACCCAAGCCGACGGCGAUGGUCCCAACCGCGCGCCCAAGAGGUAUGCCGCUGCUCAGCUCACCGAGGUCGACGGCGGGCGGCGCCUCCUGCUGCGCCGGUUCUCCUCCGAGACAGGGGAUUGGGACGAGCAGGUGCUGCCGUCCCCGCUGCCGCCUCAGCGGCGGAUGCACCUGGGCCACGAGGUGCUGGACUUCGGAGGCCGGCUCUGGUGGGUGGACGUGAGCUGGGGCGCCGUCUGCGUCGACCCUUUCAGCGUCCGGCCCGAGCUCUGCCCCGUCGAGCUCCCUCCUGACAGCAUGCUUCCGAACCAACAGGGCGAGACAGAGAUGGAGCAGCUUGUGCAGCGCUGGCACAUGGGAGUCAGCGCCGGCCGGCUGCGCUACGCCGAGAUCGACCCCUUGCACAUCAGGUCCUUCGUGCUCGACGACGACCAGAGCGGCCGCUGGACACUGGAGCACCAGGUGUCGGUUCCCGAUCUUUGGCGCAAUGGGGGCAACGCCAAGGCGACGCCUUCGAUUGCUGCUAUCGACCCGCUCGACAAUGAUGCUCUGCAUCUCAGCGUGGACAAAAUCCAUGUCAGUUUGGACAUGCUUGGGAGGACGAUUACUAAGAGUUCUGUGUGCACUGAUGAAAGCCAGAUGGCGUCAGGUUCAUAUCUUCCAUGUGUGCUUCCGUCGUUUCUCUGGUCAAGUCCGAUUCCAGGCAAGAACAAAACUUUGGACAUGGCGAAAAACACGACUUUGGCAGAUGUUCUGGUUCGUUCAGACAGACAGCAAACGAAAUGA
Molecule: ribosomal RNA, 1287 nt
Filed under: Triticum aestivum (bread wheat)
Lineage: Eukaryota; Viridiplantae; Streptophyta; Magnoliopsida; Poales; Poaceae
Description: partial small subunit ribosomal RNA
Source: RNAcentral